GAUGAAGAACGUAGUGAAAUGCGAUAAGUAAUGUGAAUUGCAGAAUUCAGUGAAUCAUCGAAUCUUUGAACGCACAUUGCGCCCGCCAGUAUUCUGGCGGGCAUGCCUGUUCGGGCGUCAUUACAACCCUCAGGCCCCCGGGCCUGGCGUUGGGGAUCGGCGGAGCCCCCCGUGGGCACACGCCGUCCCCCAAAUACAGUGGCGGUCCCGCCGCAGCUUCCAUCGCGUAGUAGCUAACACCUCGCGACUGGAGAGCGGCGCGGCCACGCCGUAAAACACCCAACUCUUCUGAAGUUGACCUCGAAUCAGGUAGGAAUACCCGCUGAACUUAAGCAUAUCAAUAAGCGGAGGA
Molecule: unclassified non-coding RNA, 352 nt
Filed under: soil metagenome
Description: partial contains 5.8S ribosomal RNA, internal transcribed spacer 2, and large subunit ribosomal RNA
Rfam family: 5.8S ribosomal RNA (bases 1-120)
Source: RNAcentral